RNAcentral lists this ribosomal RNA (232 nucleotides) under uncultured bacterium. RNAcentral describes it as "partial 16S ribosomal RNA". It matches the Rfam family "Bacterial small subunit ribosomal RNA", at positions 15 to 236 of the family's 1533-position model. The record is from RNAcentral.
GAUCCUGGCUCAGGAUGAACGCUAGCUACAGGCUUAACACAUGCAAGUCGAGGGGAAACGACAUCGAAAGCUUGCUUUUGUAUGGGCGUCGACCGGCGCACGGGUGAGUAACGCGUAUCCAACCUGCCCAUCACUUGGGAAUAACCUUGCGAAAGUAAGACUAAUGCCCAAUGAUAUCCCACGAAGGCAUCCGAAUGGGAUUAAAGAUUUAUCGGUGAUGGAUGGGAUGCGU